GUUUGAGAUGUUCCAACAGGCCUGUACCUCUGGGCCUGUCAUAGUGCCCCAUGCCAGAGCAACCCCGAACCAUUGCCUGACCCAAAGGCUACUGGCACUGAAGUGGGUCAUACAGUG
Molecule: small nucleolar RNA, 117 nt
Filed under: Otolemur garnettii (small-eared galago)
Lineage: Eukaryota; Metazoa; Chordata; Mammalia; Primates; Galagidae
Description: Small nucleolar RNA SNORA42/SNORA80 family (ENSOGAG00000020768.1)
Source: RNAcentral